UACGUAGGGGGCAAGCGUUGUCCGGAUUUAUUGGGCGUAAAGAGCGUGUAGGCGGCCAGGGAGGUCCGUUGUGAAAACUCGAGGCUCAACCUCGAGACGCCGAUGGAAACCCCCUGGCUAGAGUCCGGAAGAGGAGAGUGGAAUUCCUGGUGUAGCGGUGAAAUGCGCAGAUAUCAGGAGGAACACCGGUGGCGAAGGCGGAUCUCUGGGCCAUUACUGACGCUGAGGAGCGAAAGCGUGGGGAGCGAACAGG
RNAcentral lists this ribosomal RNA (253 nucleotides) under uncultured bacterium. RNAcentral's name for it is "partial 16S ribosomal RNA". It matches the Rfam family "Bacterial small subunit ribosomal RNA", at positions 524 to 776 of the family's 1533-position model. The record is from RNAcentral.